Molecule: transfer RNA, 64 nt
Filed under: Tenebrionoidea sp. 23 KM-2017
Lineage: Eukaryota; Metazoa; Arthropoda; Insecta; Coleoptera
Description: tRNA-Asp
Source: RNAcentral
AAAAGUUUAGUUAAAUUAUAACAUUAGAAUGUCAAACUAAAAUUAAUACAAAUAUUAACUUUUU